AUGGCCAUUGACUUGAAUAUAGCACCAGGAGAGGGAGAAGAUGAACAUGAGCCUCCCUUGCAUGAGGAAGUGCUCCAGUUUGGUCAUCACUUCGAUCUGAACAUGAACCCGGAGGACGAACAUGAGGCUGCCUUGCUUAAAGAACCCCAGGUUGGUUUUGAGCCUCACUUGCAUGAAGAAGUACUCCAGGCCGGCCAUCAAUUCGCUGGAGAAGAUGAACAUGAGCCUCCCUUGCAUGAAGAAGUACCACUGGCUGGACAUCACUUCGAUCUGAACAUGAACCAUGAACAUGAGGCCGACAUUUCCCAUGAAGAAGAGGAACAUGAGGCCGAUGUUGCCCAUGGAGAAGAGGACCUGCAUGAAUCAGAUGAAUCAGACGAUGAACUUGAAGACCACGGUGGUUUUUUCCAGAGCAUGGAAGAGGAAGUGCAAGCAAUGGAUGAAGCUCUAGAUAACCUUCAUGUUGACCCGGAGGACUAUGGUGUGUAUGCCGGAGAUAUAGAGAUUCAGUUUGACGAAGAAGAGCUUGAUGAUUCAGAACCGCAUGAAGCCAUGUACGAUUCAGCACCAGAUGAAGACAUGGAUGUGGAGCAAGAAGAUAAUGAACAAGUUCAUAAUGAAGACAAACACAAGAAUUUAACAGAUUUGCAAAGGACUGGUAUUUAUGAAGAAUUGCUAGCAAGAAGUGUCGACCGGAGAUUAAAGAAGACCACAACCAGAGAAGUUGCAAACAUGUUCCAAGUUUCAGUAUACAAGGUCAGACGCGUUUGGAGGAGGGUGAAGGAGUGUCUUCGACAAGGCAUACCCGUUGAUGUACGAUCAAGGAAGCCCAAAAAUUGUGGUCGCAAAAGGAUUGUAGUUGACCUUGGUAGGGUUCCAGAGAUUCCUCGGAGUCAAAGGAGAACUAUACGUAGUCUUGCAAGGGCUUUGGGUGUGAAGAAAAGCACAUUACAUAGGAUGUUUACGGAAGGCUUGCUAGAUAGGCAUUCCAGCUCACUCAAGCCAUAUUUGAAGGAAGCAAACAUGAAGGCUAGGCUGCGGCAUUGUCUCUCUAUGUUUGACACGCAAAGUUUGCCAAAUAAGCCCACAUUCAAGGACAUGCGUAACAUAUUACAUUUAGAUGAAAAGUGGUUUAACACCACCCAAAAGACCAUGAAAUUCUACAAGAUGCCAUCAGAAGAAAACCCACAUAGGACUGUGCAAAAUAAAAACUCCAUUGGAAAAAUAAUGUUUUUGGUUGUAAUAGGCAGGCCUAGAUAUAAUGCAGAAGGUAUUUGCAUUUUUGAUGGAAAGAUAGGCAUUUGGCCGUUUAUCAAAAAGGUGAAUUUCAACCUUUACUCUUUUAUUUAUUAG
This 1353-nucleotide ribosomal RNA is filed under the name Triticum aestivum (bread wheat). RNAcentral describes it as "partial small subunit ribosomal RNA". The record is from RNAcentral. Lineage: Eukaryota; Viridiplantae; Streptophyta; Magnoliopsida; Poales; Poaceae.